GUGGGGGAUAUUGCACAAUGGAGGAAACUCUGAUGCAGCGAUGCCGCGUGGAGGAAGAAGGUUUUCGGAUUGUAAACUCCUGUCUUCGGGGACGAUAAUGACGGUACCCGAGGAGGAAGCUCCGGCUAACUACGUGCCAGCAGCCGCGGUAAUACGUAGGGAGCAAGCGUUGUCCGGAAUUACUGGGUGUAAAGGGAGCGUAGGCGGGAUAGCAAGUCAGGUGUGAAAACUAUGGGCUCAACCCAUAGACUGCACUUGAAACUGCUGUUCUUGAGUGAAGUAGAGGUAAGCGGAAUUCCUAGUGUAGCGGUGAAAUGCGUAGAUAUUAGGAGGAACAUCAGUGGCGAAGGCGGCUUACUGGGCUUUUACUGACGCUGAGGCUCGAAAGCGUGGGGAGCAAACAGGAUUAGAAACCCUAGUAGUCC
This 425-nucleotide ribosomal RNA is filed under the name uncultured bacterium. RNAcentral's name for it is "bacterial SSU rRNA". It matches the Rfam family "Bacterial small subunit ribosomal RNA", at positions 354 to 796 of the family's 1533-position model. The record is from RNAcentral.